AGAACGAACGCUGGCGGCAUGCCUAAUACAUGCAAGUCGAACGAACUCUUCGGAGUUAGUGGCGCACGGAUGCGUAACGCGUGGGAAUCUGCCCCUUGGUUCGGAAUAACAGUUGGAAACGACUGCUAAUACCGGAUGAUGACGAAAGUCCAAAGAUUUAUCGCCAAGGGAUGAGCCCGCGUAGGAUUAGCUAGUUGGUGAGGUAAAGGCUCACCAAGGCAACGAUCCUUAGCUGGUCUGAGAGGAUGAUCAGCCACACUGGGACUGAGACACGGUCCAGACUCCUACGGGAGCAGCAGUAGGGAAUAUUGGACAAGUGGGCG
Molecule: ribosomal RNA, 323 nt
Filed under: uncultured soil bacterium
Lineage: Bacteria
Description: bacterial SSU rRNA
Rfam family: Bacterial small subunit ribosomal RNA
Source: RNAcentral